Molecule: ribosomal RNA, 500 nt
Filed under: uncultured bacterium
Lineage: Bacteria
Description: partial 16S ribosomal RNA
Rfam family: Bacterial small subunit ribosomal RNA
Source: RNAcentral
AUUGAACGCUGGCGGAAUGCUUUACACAUGCAAGUCGAACGGCAGCACGGACUUCGGUCUGGUGGCGAGUGGCGAACGGGUGAGUAAUGUAUCGGAACGUGCCCAGUCGUGGGGGAUAACGUAGUGAAAAUUACGCUAAUACCGAAUAAGAACUAUGGAUGAAAGCGGGGGAUCGAAAGAACUCGUCAGAUUGGAGCGGCCGAUAUCGGAAUAGGUAGUUGGUGGGGUAAAGGCCCACCAAGCCAACGAUCUGUAGCUGGUCUGAGAGGACGACCAGCCACACUGGAACUGAGACACGGUCCAGACUCCUACGGGAGGCAGCAGUGGGGAAUUUUGGACAAUGGGCGAAAGCCUGAUCCAGCCAUUCCGCGUGAAGGAUGAAGGCCCUCGGGUUGUAAACUGCUUUUGCACAGAACGAAAAGGUUUCUACUAAUACUAGAAGCUCAUGACGGUACUGUAAGAAUAAGCACCGGCUAACUACGUGCCAGCCGCCGCGGUAA